RNAcentral lists this ribosomal RNA (450 nucleotides) under uncultured bacterium. Its description in RNAcentral is "bacterial SSU rRNA". It matches the Rfam family "Bacterial small subunit ribosomal RNA", at positions 354 to 796 of the family's 1533-position model. The record is from RNAcentral.
GUGGGGAAUUUUGGACAAUGGGCGCAAGCCUGAUCCAGCAAUGCCGCGUGCAGGAUGAAGGCCUUCGGGUUGUAAACUGCUUUUGUACGGAACGAAAAGCUUCGGGCUAAUACCCUGGAGUCAUGACGGUACCGUAAGAAUAAGCACCGGCUAACUACGUGCCAGCAGCCGCGGUAAUACGUAGGGUGCAAGCGUUAAUCGGAAUUACUGGGCGUAAAGCGUGCGCAGGCGGUUUUGUAAGACAGUGGUGAAAUCCCCGGGCUCAACCUGGGAACUGCCAUUGUGACUGCAAGGCUGGAGUGCGGCAGAGGGGGAUGGAAUUCCGCGUGUAGCAGUGAAAUGCGUAGAUAUGCGGAGGAACACCGAUGGCGAAGGCAAUCCCCUGGGCCUGCACUGACGCUCAUGCACGAAAGCGUGGGGAGCAAACAGGAUUAGAAACCCUAGUAGUCC